GGGGUCCAGAUCUGGCUCAGGAUGAACGCUGGCGGCGUGCCUAAUACAUGCAAGUCGAGCGAAUGGAUUAAGAGCUUGCUCUUAUGAAGUUAGCGGCGGACGGGUGAGUAACACGUGGGUAACCUGCCCAUAAGACUGGGAUAACUCCGGGAAACCGGGGCUAAUACCGGAUAACAUUUUUCACCGCAUGGUGCGAAAUUCAAAGGCGGCUUCGGCUGUCACUUAUGGAUGGACCCGCGUCGCAUUAGCUAGUUGGUGAGGUAACGGCUCACCAAGGCAACGAUGCGUAGCCGACCUGAGAGGGUGAUCGGCCACACUGGGACUGAGACACGGCCCAGACUCCUACGGGAGGCAGCAGUAGGGAAUCUUCCGCAAUGGACGAAAGUCUGACGGAGCAACGCCGCGUGAGUGAUGAAGGCUUUCGGGUCGUAGAACUCUGUUGUUAGGGAAGAACAAGUGCUAGUUGAAUAAGCUGGCACCUUGACGGUACCUAACCAGAAAGCCACGGCUAACUACGUGCCAGCAGCCGCGGUAAUACGUAGGUGGCAAGCGUUAUCCGGAGUUAUUGGGCGUAAAGCGCGCGCAGGUGGUUUCUUAAGUCUGAUGUGAAAGCCCACGGCUCAACCGUGGAGGGUCAUUGGAAACUGGGAGACUUGAGUGCAGAAGAGGAAAGUGGGAUUCCAUGUGUAGCGGUGAAAUGCGUAGAGAUAUGGAGGAACACCAGUGGCGAAGCGACUUUCUGGUCUGUAACUGACACUGAGGCGCGAAAGCGUGGGGAGCAAACAGGAUUAGAUACCCUGAUAGUCCACGCCGUAAACGAUGAGUGCUAAGUGUUAGAGGGUUUCCGCCCUUUAGUGCUGAAGUUAACGCAUUAAGCACUUCGCCUGGGGAGUACGGCGCAAGGCUGAAACUCAAAGGAAUUGACGGGGCCCGCACAGCGGUGGAGCAUGUGGUUUAAUUCGAAGCAACGCGAAGACUUACAGGUCUUGACAUCCUCUGACAACCCUAGAGAUAGGCUUCCCCUUCGGGGCAGAGUGACAGGUGGUGUAUGUUGUCCUCAGCUCUGUCCUGAGAAUGUGUGGGUAAAGUCCCG
RNAcentral lists this ribosomal RNA (1093 nucleotides) under Sinopodophyllum hexandrum. RNAcentral's name for it is "bacterial SSU rRNA". It matches the Rfam family "Bacterial small subunit ribosomal RNA", at positions 9 to 1089 of the family's 1533-position model. The record is from RNAcentral. Lineage: Eukaryota; Viridiplantae; Streptophyta; Magnoliopsida; Ranunculales; Berberidaceae.